Non-coding RNA from Acaromyces ingoldii, 103 nucleotides. NCBI's taxonomy places the organism in Eukaryota, Fungi, Basidiomycota, Exobasidiomycetes, Exobasidiales, Cryptobasidiaceae. The record is from the annotation of a RefSeq genome assembly.
GCACUAAUGGUUGAAUGGUACAAUGCUUCGUUGCCAUUCAGCAGUUCAUCUGAUGAGCUUGCUAUGACUCGAAGCGGUCCGCGUUCGAUUCGCGGUUAGUGCA